UCGGACGGUAGUCACAGUAGGAGGCUUGCUCCUUGGGUGUACGAGUGGCGGACGGGUGCAGCUAAUGUCUGGGGAUCUGCCCGAUAGAGGGGGAUAACCACUGGAAACGGUGGCUAAUACCGCAUAACGUCGCAAGACCAAAGAGGGGGACCUUCGGGCCUCUCACUAUCGGAUGAACCCAGAUGGGAUUAGCUAGUAGGCGGGGUAAUGGCCCACCUAGGCGACGAUCCCUAGCUGGUCUGAGAGGAUGACCAGCCACACUGGAACUGAGACACGGUCCAGACUCCUACGGGAGGCAGCAGUGGGGAAUAUUGCACAAUGGGCGAAGCCUGAUGCAGCCAUGCCGCGUGUAUGAAGAAGGCCUUCGGGUUGUAAAGUACUUUCAGCGGGGAAGAAGGCGAUGCGGUUAAUAACCGCGUCGAUUGACGUUACCCCGCAAAGAAGCACCGGCUAACUUCGUGCCAGCAGCCGCGGUUAAUACGGAAGGGUGGCAAGCGUUC
Molecule: ribosomal RNA, 500 nt
Filed under: marine bacterium SIMO-1585
Lineage: Bacteria; Pseudomonadati; Pseudomonadota; Gammaproteobacteria
Description: bacterial SSU rRNA
Rfam family: Bacterial small subunit ribosomal RNA
Source: RNAcentral